RNAcentral lists this non-coding RNA (30 nucleotides) under Mus musculus (house mouse). The record is from RNAcentral. Lineage: Eukaryota; Metazoa; Chordata; Mammalia; Rodentia; Muridae.
UUCCCAUUCUGAGUAGCACAUUUCCCAAGG